GGGGGCGAUUGGAUUCGACUGGGUUGCCAAUACGUUGAGGUGGCGUGCCGUGGUUGAUCAGCAGGCCACGUAAAAAGCUGAUCACAACAAUAAUUGCUGAAAAGCAGUUUGCUAUGGUUGCGUAAAGCAGCUCCGGCCUAGGAAUCCCCGUCUGAGGAGCCCGACAGCCGGUCACAAAAUCGGACUGGUCCCAGGUCACUGCCUGCCACGCCUGGGAUAAGACAAGUUGCAGGCUGGUUGCAAUCGGGCUUUGUCUUUUCGAGCCUGCUUGCGACGAGACACAAUCGGAGGACUACGCACGUAGAGGCCGAAACUGAGGGACCACAGGACGCGGGUUCGAUUCCCGCCGCCUCCACUG
RNAcentral lists this transfer-messenger RNA (358 nucleotides) under Planctomycetaceae bacterium. It matches the Rfam family "transfer-messenger RNA". Rfam says of the family: Bacterial tmRNA, also known as 10Sa RNA or SsrA, is named for its dual tRNA and mRNA-like properties. Lineage: Bacteria; Pseudomonadati; Planctomycetota; Planctomycetia; Planctomycetales; Planctomycetaceae. The record is from RNAcentral.